UGGGGAAUAUUGCACAAUGGGCGAAAGCCUGAUGCAGCAACGCCGCGUGAGGGAUGACGGCCUUCGGGUUGUAAACCUCUUUUAGUAGGGAAGAAGCGAAAGUGACGGUACCUGUAGAAAAAGCACCGGCUAACUACGUGCCAGCAGCCGCGGCAAUACGUAGGGUGCAAGCGUUGUCCGGAAUUAUUGGGCGUAAAGAGCUCGUAGGCGGUUUGUCGCGUCUGCUGUGAAAUCCCGAGGCUCAACCUCGGGUCUGCAGUGGGUACGGGCAGACUAGAGUGUGGUAGGGGAGAUUGGAAUUCCUGGUGUAGCGGUGGAAUGCGCAGAUAUCAGGAGGAACACCGAUGGCGAAGGCAGAUCUCUGGGCCAUUACUGACGCUGAGGAGCGAAAGCAUGGGGAGCGAACA
RNAcentral lists this ribosomal RNA (407 nucleotides) under uncultured bacterium. RNAcentral describes it as "partial 16S ribosomal RNA". It matches the Rfam family "Bacterial small subunit ribosomal RNA", at positions 355 to 774 of the family's 1533-position model. The record is from RNAcentral.